GGAAAAGGAGAGCUUGCCUCUUACGCUAAACAGCCCUCAGGACGGAGACCCCAGAGUCACCUCUCCCUCUCCCCGUGACUGGCGAAGUGUCAAGUGCCGUACAGCCUAGGGAGUCUGAGGAUAGCGUGGACGUCAUGAGAGCAGGUGAGGAAGAGGGCAAGGAGAAGGUGGAGAGCAGGUAUAUAUGCCGAUCCUUCCACCCACAGCAACAUUAUAGCAACUGGCCGGGAGAUCAGAAGCCUGUGGGGCAACACACCGACUGGUGCAGCGAUGCUCGGGCCAGGGAAUGAAGUUCACACCACCGCCAGUGUUACAUCAGCUCAAAAUAUGGAAACACAAACCCAGUAAUAAAAACCAGAGAGAAG
This is a long non-coding RNA of Lagenorhynchus albirostris (white-beaked dolphin), 365 nucleotides long. RefSeq lists it as uncharacterized. Lineage: Eukaryota; Metazoa; Chordata; Mammalia; Artiodactyla; Delphinidae. The transcript is spliced from 4 exons. The record is from RefSeq and is a predicted model, not a curated record.